UUUUUGUGAACCGCGGGGUGCUAAGCAUAUCAAUAAGCGGAGGAAAAGAAACUAACAAGGAUUCCCCUAGUAACUGCGAGUGAAGCGGGAAAAGCUCAAAUUUAAAAUCUGGCAGUCUAUGGCUGUCCGAGUUGUAAUCUAGAGAAGUGAUGCCCGCGCUGGACCGUGUACAAGUCUCCUGGAAUGGAGCGUCAUAGAGGGUGAGAAUCCCGUCUCUGACACGGACUACCAGGGCUUUGUGGUAUGCUCUCAAAGAGUCGAGUUGUUUGGGAAUGCAGCUCUAAAUGGGUGGUAAAUUCCAUCUAAAGCUAAAUAUUGGCGAGAGACCGAUAGCGAACAAGUACCGUGAGGGAAAGAUGAAAAGAACUUUGGAAAGAGAGUUAAACAGUACGUGAAAUUGCUGAAAGGGAAACGCUUGAAGUCAGUCGCGUUAGCUGGAGAUCAGCCUCGCUGUUGCGUGGUGUACUUUCUGGUUGACGGGUCAGCAUCAAUUUUGACUGCUGGAAAAAGGCCUUGGGAAUGUGGCAGCUUCGGCUGUGUUAUAGCCCUUGGUCACAUACAGCUGUUGGGAUUGAGGAACUCAGCACGCCGCAAGGCCGGGUUUCGACCACGUUCGUGCUUAGGAUGCUGGCAUAAUGGCUUUAAGCGACCCGUCUUGAAACACGGACCAAGGAGUCUAACAUGCCUGCGAGUGUUUGGGUGGUAAACCCUCUCGCGUAAUGAAAGUGAAAGUUGAGAUCCCUGUCGUGGGGAGCAUCGACGCCCGGACUUGAACUUUUGUGACGGAUCCGCGGUAGAGCAUGUAUGUUGGGACCCGAAAGAUGGUGAACUAUGCCUGAAUAGGGUGAAGCCAGAGGAAACUCUGGUGGAGGCUCGUAGCGAUUCUGACGUGCAAAUCGAUCGUCAAAUUUGGGUAUAGGGGCGAAAGACUAAUCGAACCAUCUAGUAGCUGGUUCCUGCCG
This 962-nucleotide ribosomal RNA is filed under the name Lycoperdon sp. Its description in RNAcentral is "partial large subunit ribosomal RNA". It matches the Rfam family "Eukaryotic large subunit ribosomal RNA", at positions 23 to 963 of the family's 3401-position model. The record is from RNAcentral. Lineage: Eukaryota; Fungi; Basidiomycota; Agaricomycetes; Agaricales; Lycoperdaceae.